GAUUGCUUAUUGAGGAAAGAAACUGCUUACCAACCAACCAAAAAUGGCUGAGCAUUUGCCCAUACCCACAAAUCGAUCCCUGAUGAAAUCGUGUUGCUGGACAUGUGUAACCCGUGGUUUUAAAACUUGUGCAGUCUCAUAAUUAGCUUUUGCAAUACUGUCCUCACAGUGCUUCCGUUGACGUAUCUUGGCUCCUCCAAAUACAAUAGUCAGAAGAGAGAAAGUCACGUGAACAAUUGCAAGGACAAAGAUGAAAAUGUGAAGGUGAUGCAAGGCUUCAAGAGAGAGUAAUGGUACCUUA
Molecule: unclassified non-coding RNA, 301 nt
Filed under: Hevea brasiliensis (rubber tree)
Lineage: Eukaryota; Viridiplantae; Streptophyta; Magnoliopsida; Malpighiales; Euphorbiaceae
Source: RNAcentral